GACGAACGCUGGCGGCGUGCUUAACACAUGCAAGUCGAACGGAAAGGCCCUGCUUUUGUGGGGUGCUCGAGUGGCGAACGGGUGAGUAACACGUGAGUAACCUGCCCUUGACUUUGGGAUAACUUCAGGAAACUGGGGCUAAUACCGGAUAGGAGCUCCUGCUGCAUGGUGGGGGUUGGAAAGUUUCGGCGGUUGGGGAUGGACUCGCGGCUGAUCAGCUUGUUGGUGGGGUAGUGGCUUACCAAGGCUUUGACGGGUAGCCGGCCUGAGAGGGUGACCGGCCACAUUAGGACUGAGAGACGGACCAGACGCCUACGGGAGGCAGCAGUGGGAAAUAUUGCACAGUGGGCGGAAGCCUGAGGCAGCAACGCCGCGUGCGGGAUGACGGCCUUCGGGUUGUAAACCGCUUUCGCCUGUGACGAAGCGUGAGUGACGGUAAUGGGUAAAGAAGCACCGGCUAACUACGUG
RNAcentral lists this ribosomal RNA (468 nucleotides) under uncultured bacterium. RNAcentral describes it as "partial 16S ribosomal RNA". It matches the Rfam family "Bacterial small subunit ribosomal RNA", at positions 28 to 507 of the family's 1533-position model. The record is from RNAcentral.